GAUGAACGCUGGCGGCGUGCCUAAUACAUGCAAGUCGAGCGAACAGACGAGGAGCUUGCUCCUCUGACGUUAGCGGCGGACGGGUGAGUAACACGUGGAUAACCUACCUAUAAGACUGGGAUAACUUCGGGAAACCGGAGCUAAUACCGGAUAAUAUAUUGAACCGCAUGGUUCAAUAGUGAAAGACGGUUUUGCUGUCACUUAUAGAUGGAUCCGCGCCGCAUUAGCUAGUUGGUAAGGUAACGGCUUACCAAGGCAACGAUGCGUAGCCGACCUGAGAGGGUGAUCGGCCACACUGGAACUGAGACACGGUCCAGACUCCUACGGGAGGCAGCAGUAGGGAAUCUUCCGCAAUGGGCGAAAGCCUGACGGAGCAACGCCGUGAGUGAUGAAGGUCUUCGGAUCGUAAAACUCUGUUAUUAGGGAAGAACAAAUGUGUAAGUAACUAUGCACGUCUUGACGGUACCUAAUCAGAAAGCCACGGCUAACUACGUG
RNAcentral lists this ribosomal RNA (495 nucleotides) under uncultured bacterium. RNAcentral's name for it is "partial 16S ribosomal RNA". It matches the Rfam family "Bacterial small subunit ribosomal RNA", at positions 28 to 507 of the family's 1533-position model. The record is from RNAcentral.